RNAcentral lists this ribosomal RNA (693 nucleotides) under Calocybe naucoria. RNAcentral describes it as "eukaryotic LSU rRNA". It matches the Rfam family "Eukaryotic large subunit ribosomal RNA", at positions 73 to 752 of the family's 3401-position model. The record is from RNAcentral. Lineage: Eukaryota; Fungi; Basidiomycota; Agaricomycetes; Agaricales; Lyophyllaceae.
GAUUCCCCUAGUAACUGCGAGUGAAGCGGGAAAAGCUCAAAUUUAAAAUCUGGUAGUCUCUGGCUGCCCGAGUUGUAAUCUAGAGAAGCAUUAUCCGCGCUGGACCGUGUACAAGUCUCCUGGAACGGAGCGUCAUAGAGGGUGAGAAUCCCGUCUUUGACACGGACUACCAGGGCUUUGUGAUGUGCUCUCAAAGAGUCGAGUUGUUUGGGAAUGCAGCUCUAAAUGGGUGGUAAAUUCCAUCUAAAGCUAAAUAUUGGCGAGAGACCGAUAGCGAACAAGUACCGUGAGGGAAAGAUGAAAAGAACUUUGGAAAGAGAGUUAAACAGUACGUGAAAUUGUUGAAAGGGAAACGCUUGAAGUCAGUCACGUCUAUUGGGGAUCAGCCUUGCUCUUUUGCUUGGUCUAUUUCCUGAUAAACGGGUCAGCAUCAAUUUCGUCCGAUGGAAAAAGGUCAGGGGAAUGUGGCAUCUUCGGAUGUGUUAUAGCCCUUGGCUGCAUACAUCGGUUGGGAUUGAGGAAUUCAGCACGCCGCAAGGCCGGGUCUUUGACCACGUUCGUGCUUAGGAUGCUGGCAUAAUGGCUUUAAUCGACCCGUCUUGAAACACGGACCAAGGAGUCUAACAUGCCUGCGAGUGUUUGGGUGGAAAACCCAUGCGCGUAAUGAAAGUGAAAGUUGAGAUCCCUGUCGUG